RNAcentral lists this ribosomal RNA (253 nucleotides) under uncultured bacterium. RNAcentral's name for it is "partial 16S ribosomal RNA". It matches the Rfam family "Bacterial small subunit ribosomal RNA", at positions 524 to 776 of the family's 1533-position model. The record is from RNAcentral.
UACGUAGGGGGCAAGCGUUGUCCGGAAUCAUUGGGCGUAAAGAGCGUGUAGGCGGCCCGAUAAGUCCGCUGUGAAAGUCCAGGGCUCAACCCUGGAAUGCCGGUGGAUACUGUCGGGCUCGAAUCCGGAAGAGGUGAGUGGAAUUCCUGGUGUAGCGGUGAAAUGCGUAGAUAUCAGGAGGAACACCUGUGGUGUAGACGGCUCUCUGGACAGUCACUGACGCUGAGACACGAAAGCGUGGGUAGCAAACAGG